AUGCAUUCAAAACCUUUGUUUGUACUUACUACUAAUUUUUCCCGACUGCACCCUCCCCAUCCCCGACACCAAACCAACAUGACUCAUUCAAAUUUCGACUAAAUAAAUGAAUAGAACGAAAAUAAAAACUCCCAUAGACCAAAAGCGCCAAUCUUAAUGAUUCAAACCCGACUCAAAAACCAACCUUGCUGACAAUAAUUCAACGAAGGAUAUCAACCACUCAAUAACGUAGCAACAAAACAACCUGGAGACUAGGACUAUGAGAGAGUAUUGAUAAGAGUGGCACGAAGGAUAUCAACCACUCAAUAACGUAGCAACAAAACAACCUGAAGACUAGUACUAUGAGAGAGUAUUGAUAAGAGUGGCA
RNAcentral lists this long non-coding RNA (367 nucleotides) under Medicago truncatula (barrel medic). RNAcentral's name for it is "lncRNA gene35697". The record is from RNAcentral. Lineage: Eukaryota; Viridiplantae; Streptophyta; Magnoliopsida; Fabales; Fabaceae.